Trachemys scripta elegans is the source of this 356-nucleotide long non-coding RNA. RefSeq lists it as uncharacterized. The transcript has 2 exons. NCBI's taxonomy places the organism in Eukaryota, Metazoa, Chordata, Testudines, Emydidae. The record is from RefSeq and is a predicted model, not a curated record.
ACUAUAUUUUGAAUUCCAAUGUCCUUUGAUGCCUGACACAUCGACAUUACUAUAUCGUUAUAAUUAGCUGAACCUGAGCUUAAGGAAGGCUUGAAAACAAUUUGAAGAGGUGCUUAAAAUGAUUGCAUAAUUUCAGUCUUAAGGAUAUCUGACAUCUGCAUACUUGUGUUUUGUAACUUUAAUUAUGUGCAUUAAACAUAGCUUUACUAAAAUAUGACCAAACUUUAAAUCAUCUGUGGCUUUGAUCCUCUGGCAUACCAUAGUAACAUAGUCUUAGAUGUUAGUUUGUGUGGAUAACUAUCCAGAAGAAAAAUAUUCUAACCAUGCCUCAUUUAGAACAAUUAAAAGUUAGAUUU